Long non-coding RNA from Hyalella azteca, 820 nucleotides. RefSeq lists it as uncharacterized. The transcript has 3 exons. Lineage: Eukaryota; Metazoa; Arthropoda; Malacostraca; Amphipoda; Hyalellidae. The record is from RefSeq and is a predicted model, not a curated record.
ACCUGCGCUACUCCAUAGGCCGAUUAGUUACAAGUGUCGUAUGUUCCUUGUCAAUUCAUUGUGAUUUCUGAUUUUUAUUCAUUUAUCACUAGUGUAUGUAACGUAAUUUUGCUCAUCCCUCAAGACUAGGGUAAAGCAACCGAAUUCCACCUAAAGUUUUCCAAUUCAGACUAGGGCUGCCAUUCACGUUCCCAGCUUGCGAUUGGAAAGUCUCCACGGUUACUUUGACCUCGUUAGCAAAUGCAAGAGGUUGAAUGCUACAAGCUCCCAAUAAAACUGCGUCGCAAAUUUGUGCGGGCUCAACAGAUGUCGGAGAGCGGAUGUGCGAAAUGUGUCAAUCCCCUAAAUAGUUUCUGGGAAGCUGUGCAAAUCCAGCGAAGGACCAUUCCGCGGCUCGCACGUUCGUGGCAUUUGUCUUGCCGCUUCUGCAGAAAAUUUUCUCCACGCGCCUAACACGAGACUCUUCCGAGUCUUAUUGCCAAGCGUUCUGCCCGGAAGAAAAUUUGCGUGUCUUGGUCCAAGAACGAGACCAUGAGUAGAAUCUUAAUCUUCGAUGGGAUUAUAUGCACAACCUGGCCUCCGAAUACCCAUAAAAAUUAACGUUGAGUCGACACGGGCGUGAAGGCAUUCAUUCAAUUUGCAUCUAUGGACUACCAAAUAUAUCUAUUUCGUGUUCCGAUCUCGGAUAUGUAACGUGCAUCUCCUCUACGAGUGUACCUGCUCUUCGGAAUCGCUCUUGCCGCAUGCUACAAACUACUGAAGUUGCAUCUAACUGAAAAAUCUCCAAUCUUCAAAGCCUCCAUACUUUAAAGCACAACUU